This 1264-nucleotide ribosomal RNA is filed under the name metagenome. Its description in RNAcentral is "bacterial SSU rRNA". It matches the Rfam family "Bacterial small subunit ribosomal RNA", at positions 8 to 1321 of the family's 1533-position model. The record is from RNAcentral.
AGAGUUUGAUCCUGGCUCAGGAUGAACGCUGGCGGCGUGCUUAACACAUGCAAGUCGAACGAUCCUUCGGGAUAGUGGCGGACGGGUGAGUAACGCGUGGGAAUCUGCCCUCAGGAGGGGGAUAACGGCUGGAAACGGCCGCUAAUACCCCAUAUGCCGAGAGGUGAAACGAAUUUCGCCUGAGGAUGAGCCCGCGUCUGAUUAGCUAGUUGGUGGGGUAACGGCCCACCAAGGCGACGAUCAGUAGCUGGUCUGAGAGGAUGAUCAGCCACACUGGGACUGAGACACGGCCCAGACUCCUACGGGAGGCAGCAGUGGGGAAUUUUCCGCAAUGGGCGAAAGCCUGACGGAGCAACGCCGCGUGAGGGAUGAAGGCCUCUGGGCUGUAAACCUCUUUUCUCAAGGAAGAAGACCUGACGGUACUUGAGGAAUAAGCCACGGCUAAUUCCGUGCCAGCAGCCGCGGUAAUACGGGAGUGGCAAGCGUUAUCCGGAAUUAUUGGGCGUAAAGCGUCCGCAGGCGGCCUUGUAAGUCUGUUGUUAAAGCGUGGAGCUUAACUCCAUUUAAGCAAUGGAACUACAAGGCUGGAGUGUGGUAGGGGCAGAGGGAAUUCCCGGUGUAGCGGUGAAAUGCGUAGAUAUCGGGAAGAACACCAGUGGCGAAGGCGCUCUGCUGGGCCAUAACUGACGCUCAUGGACGAAAGCCAGGGGAGCGAAAGGGAUUAGAUACCCCUGUAGUCCUGGCCGUAAACGAUGAACACUAGGUGUCUGGGGAAUCGACCCCCUCGGUGUCGUAGCCAACGCGUUAAGUGUUCCGCCUGGGGAGUACGCACGCAAGUGUGAAACUCAAAGGAAUUGACGGGGGCCCGCACAAGCGGUGGAGUAUGUGGUUUAAUUCGAUGCAACGCGAAGAACCUUACCAGGGUUUGACAUCCUGCGAACCCCUGAGAAAUCGGGGGGUGCCUUCGGGAGCGCAGAGACAGGUGGUGCAUGGCUGUCGUCAGCUCGUGUCGUGAGAUGUUGGGUUAAGUCCCGCAACGAGCGCAACCCACGUCUUUAGUUGCCAGCAUUCAGUUGGGCACUCUAGAGAGACCGCCGGUGAUAAACCGGAGGAAGGUGUGGAUGACGUCAAGUCAUCAUGCCCCUUACAUCCUGGGCUACACACGUACUACAAUGCUACGGACAAAGGGCAGCAAGCUCGCGAGAGUUAGCAAAUCCCAUAAACCGUGGCUCAGUUCAGAUCGUAGGCUGCAACUCGCCUACGU